GGGUACGUAAAGCGCAUGCAGGUGGUUUGUUAAGUCAGAUGUGAAGCCCGGGGCUCAACCUCGGAAUUGCAUUUAGAAACUGGACAAACUAGAGUACUGUAGAGGGGGUAGAAUUUCAGGUGUAGCGGUGAAAUGCGUAGAGAUCUGAAGGAAUACCGGUGGCGAAGGCGGCCCCCUGGACACGAUACUGACACUCAGAUGCGAAAGACGUGGGGAGGCAAACAGGAUUAGAUACCCUGGUAG
RNAcentral lists this ribosomal RNA (243 nucleotides) under uncultured bacterium. RNAcentral's name for it is "partial 16S ribosomal RNA". It matches the Rfam family "Bacterial small subunit ribosomal RNA", at positions 559 to 793 of the family's 1533-position model. The record is from RNAcentral.